UGCAUGAACUCUUGGUUUUACCUUAUGAGUUGUUGGGUUGAGUCUGUUGUUGUAGAUUUACUCAUACGAGCUUUUAAAGCUUACCGGGUUUGUUGUUUACAACCCGGUACACCAUUCCAUGGUGUAGAGGUUGAUUUUGCAGGUGAGGAAGUUCAAGACUGAGACGUAGAGGUCUAGAAGCUGUUUGUUAGGAGUUAAACAUUUUGUUAUUGUAUGUCAAAUUGUAGUGAGCUCUUUUGAGCGUGACCUUUACUUGACUUCUCAAGUUUUGUAAACGUUGAAUUUUAUUAUAUGACUCUUUUUAUUUUUGUUAUCAUGCCUUAAAUUUGGAUUUUUAUUUAUCCGAAAUUUGGGGUGUGACACGAGUAACCCAGGUGAAACUUCAUGUUAACCUUAUAUUUUAUACUCAAAACUUCGGGUUUGAGCUUUUAUCGUUAGAACUUCGGGUUCUAUAAUUCCAGUAUUUUGAAACUUCUGGUCCAAAAAUAUUACACUCGAAAUUCAU
RNAcentral lists this long non-coding RNA (505 nucleotides) under Fragaria vesca (wild strawberry). Its description in RNAcentral is "long non-coding RNA (FVES_LNC004550)". Lineage: Eukaryota; Viridiplantae; Streptophyta; Magnoliopsida; Rosales; Rosaceae. The record is from RNAcentral.